This 253-nucleotide ribosomal RNA is filed under the name uncultured bacterium. RNAcentral's name for it is "partial 16S ribosomal RNA". It matches the Rfam family "Bacterial small subunit ribosomal RNA", at positions 524 to 776 of the family's 1533-position model. The record is from RNAcentral.
UACGUAGGGGGCUAGCGUUGUCCGGAAUCAUUGGGCGUAAAGCGCGUGUAGGCGGUCCGGUAAGUCCGCUGUGAAAGUCGGGGGCUCAACCCUCGAAUGCCGGUGGAUACUGUCGGGCUAGAGUGCGGAAGAGGCGAGUGGAAUUCCUGGUGUAGCGGUGAAAUGCGCAGAUAUCAGGAGGAACACCGGUGGCGAAGGCGGAUCUCUGGGCCUUACCUGACGCUCAGGCGCGAAAGCUAGGGGAGCGAACAGG